This 469-nucleotide unclassified non-coding RNA is filed under the name Hevea brasiliensis (rubber tree). The record is from RNAcentral. Lineage: Eukaryota; Viridiplantae; Streptophyta; Magnoliopsida; Malpighiales; Euphorbiaceae.
GUUAGUCCACAAACACACAUAAUGCUGAGUUGAUAUAGAAAUUUCUCAGUGCAAGGCUAAAGAUGUUACAGAUUUAGAAUUAGAAUAAGAAAAUAAAAAUGGUUAGAUUUAAAACAAAUGAAUACAGCUUUCAAUGAUACUAAAAUGGUCUCUAAAAUUACGACUACCGGAUGGUCAACAUAUCGUAUGCAAGCCGUUUCAUGAGGUAGGGCCUUUAUAAUUUCACUUGCCUGUUACCUAGCAGCUUGUGUAGCCUGAUAAUCAAGUCGGCUUCAUCUUCUGUAAACAUUCCGCUCUUAAUGUCUGGUUUUAGAUAGUUGAACCAUCUCAGUCUACAACUUUUCCUGCAUCUAUGUAAUCCUGGAAUUCCAAGACAUUAAUUAUCUCUUCAUUGACCACCCACAGGCCACAUGCAUGUAUAUUAUAAUUUAAUUACCUGCUCUUAAAGGAACUAGAUGCCAUCUGCCUU